Molecule: long non-coding RNA, 1253 nt
Organism: Aethalodelphis obliquidens (Pacific white-sided dolphin)
Lineage: Eukaryota; Metazoa; Chordata; Mammalia; Artiodactyla; Delphinidae
Exons: 2
Source: RefSeq, a predicted model, not a curated record
GUGUGCGUGUGAGUGUGCAGGGGCGGGCGCGGGCGGGCGGGGGGCGGGCUCCCGGGCUCCCCUCCUCCCCAGCCCGCUCGUCUCGCUCGCUCGCCAACUCCGGGCCCCAGCCGCGGGCGGGCGGACGGCGGGCGGACAGCAUGCUGAGCCUCCUCGUUUGGAUCCUCACUCUCUCCGAUACUUUCUCCCAAGCCCUCAUGUGUCAGCAACGUGGAUACAAACGAGCUUCAAGGAACAAAAGCUGCAGUUAGCAAACAGGAGAGGCAUGUGGAUUGAAUUGGGACAGAAACGGUCCGAGAGAAGUGUGUUGUGUGCCUUUCUCCCUUUGGAAAGGGGGGGAGGGGUUAGGGGUUAGCUGAGCUCCCAUCGCCCAUCCUCCAGCGUGGGUGAAAGCAAGACCUGAUGAAAGUGUGCAAAAGUAUUUGGGAUGGGGGGAGGGGUUACCAAAGGGAAAUAAAAGGGAGAGGAUAGAACGGAGGGGAGAGGAAGUCACUCCUGAGUGUUCCUGGGAAGCUGAGCAAGGACUGGGGAGGAGGCAGGGCGGGAAGGAGUGGGGAUCUGGGGCUCUUCAGGGUGGGGGAAGGCGGCAGGACCUCUCUCCUCAGCCCCCAUCCUUAGAAAGAAAGAGUUGUAGGCAGGGACUGGGCCAGUGGUAGGGGAAACCAAGGGGGGGAUUGCCAGGGGCUUGAGGGAGGGUGGAGAGAAGGUGGGAGGAGAAGGCAGUUGAAUUGAGGGGAGUGGAGAGGAGAGGGGAAGGGGACGUUCAGCCUAGGCAGAGAAAUAAAAAUCACGUUUUAAAGAAUUUCAAUGGGCUUCAUCAAUCUUCAUUUUUCACUAAAUAAUUUUCUGUAUCUUAUCUAAAUGAAAACCAUUAUCCUUCCCCCUGUUUCCAGCAUGCGCUGGCUCCUCAGACUGAUUGCACCGAAAAUUGAAAUAUUUAUUCAUUUUCUGGGAGAUUUUCUCACUCCCCAGUCUCAGGGAGGAGAAAUUGAAAAAGAAAGAUUAUAGCUAAUCAGAGCAAUGUGGGAUGACUGGCUGGCCCAGGGUGGGAGCUGCCCAAGGGAGGGUGGAGGUGAAGGUAGGGGGAAAAUCUGUCCCCCCAGCCCCCAGAGUCCCCUGGGCAUCCCUGCCACCGCUUGGCAGGGCGGUGAGGAGUGAAGGGAAGAGGGCCUCCUAAAUUCCCAGUAUUCAGCUGCCGAGUACAGCUACAUGCUGCCGAGUACAGCUACAUCCUGCCAGAGAACAAGAGUCUG